GAUGAACGCUGGCGGCGUGCUUAACACAUGCAAGUCGAACGGUGAAGGCGGAGCUUGCUCUGCUGGAUCAGUGGCGAACGGGUGAGUAACACGUGAGCAAUCUGCCCCUGACUCUAGGAUAAGCGCUGGAAACGGCGUCUAAUACUGGAUACGAGCUGCGAAGGCAUCUUCAGCAGCUGGAAAGAAUUUCGGUCGGGGAUGAGCUCGCGGCCUAUCAGCUUGUUGGUGAGGUAAUGGCUCACCAAGGCGUCGACGGGUAGCCGGCCUGAGAGGGUGACCGGCCACACUGGGACUGAGACACGGCCCAGACUCCUACGGGAGGCAGCAGUGGGGAAUAUUGCACAAUGGGCGAAAGCCUGAUGCAGCAACGCCGCGUGAGGGACGACGGCCUUCGGGUUGUAAACCUCUUUUAGCAGGGAAGAAGCGAAAGUGACGGUACCUGCAGAAAAAGCGCCGGCUAACUACGUG
Molecule: ribosomal RNA, 468 nt
Filed under: uncultured bacterium
Lineage: Bacteria
Description: partial 16S ribosomal RNA
Rfam family: Bacterial small subunit ribosomal RNA
Source: RNAcentral